GUGGGGAAUAUUGGACAAUGGGCGAAAGCCUGAUCCAGCCAUGCCGCGUGUGUGAAGAAGGUCUUCGGAUUGAAAAGCACUUUAAGUUGGGAGGAAGGGUAGUAACCUAAUACGUUGCUACUUUGACGUUACCGACAGAAUAAGCACCGGCUAACUUCGUGCCAGCAGCCGCGGUAAUACGAAGGGUGCAAGCGUUAAUCGGAAUUACUGGGCGUAAAGUGCGCGUAGGUGGUUUUGUAAGUUGGAGGUGAAAUCCCCGGGCUCAACCUUGGAAAUGGCUCCAAAACUGCAUGACUAGAGUACGGUAGAGGGUAGUGGAAUUUCCUGUGUAGCGGUGAAAUGCGUAGAUAUAGGAAGGAACACCAGUGGCGAAGGCGACUACCUGGACUGAUACUGACACUGAGGUGCGAAAGCGUGGGGAGCAAACAGGAUUAGAUACCCCGGUAGUCC
This 450-nucleotide ribosomal RNA is filed under the name uncultured bacterium. Its description in RNAcentral is "partial 16S ribosomal RNA". It matches the Rfam family "Bacterial small subunit ribosomal RNA", at positions 354 to 796 of the family's 1533-position model. The record is from RNAcentral.